UGUAUCUCUCAGAUUUGGAUCCCAUAGGAGAUCCUUCCUUCUCUUAUUUGAAAACACUAAAAGAGGAAAAAAAAAAUGACGUGCAACAUAUCUUUGAUUAAAAAAGACUAUCUGAUGAGUUUAAACAUAUUGCUAAGCAAAUGAUAAGAAACUAACCAAGAUUUCUUUAGUAAUGGCAAGGGAAUUGGAAAGAGUCCAACUUGAAAAUUGAGGUGCUUCACGCCUCAAAUUAUAGUCUAAAGAAGUGCCUCCUACAAUGUGCUAGUCCCAAGUUCCUUAGAAUAGGAUGUCCAAGAGGGUGACAACCUCAUCAAGGCUGGUUUUUGAUGCUCCACAAGGUGCAAUCUAUGAGUGAAGUUAUUUGAAAAUGCAGUCUUAAGUGGGAGAUAAAUUCUCUUUUAAGGUUAAUAUUUGUAAGAUACCAAUAGUGAUCAAGUACUUUGAGAGAAAGAUGAAAAGGACUUUAAAAAGAGAAUUAAACAGUGCUUAAAA
RNAcentral lists this non-coding RNA (492 nucleotides) under Physcomitrium patens. Its description in RNAcentral is "Physcomitrella patens Archaeal large subunit ribosomal RNA". The stretch from base 88 to 492 matches the Rfam family "Eukaryotic large subunit ribosomal RNA", at positions 1 to 404 of the family's 3401-position model. The record is from Rfam by way of RNAcentral. Lineage: Eukaryota; Viridiplantae; Streptophyta; Bryopsida; Funariales; Funariaceae.